UUAAGCAUAUCAAUAAGCGGAGGAAAAGAAACCAACAGGGAUUACCUCAGUAACGGCGAGUGAAGCGGUAACAGCUCAAAUUUGAAAGCUAGCUCUUCUAGGGUUCGCAUUGUAAUUUGUAGAAGAUGCUUCGGGUGUGGCCCCGGUCUAAGUUCCUUGGAACAGGACGUCAUAGAGGGUGAGAAUCCCGUAUGUGACUGGGUGCUUUCGCUCAUGUGAAGCUCUUUCGACGAGUCGAGUUGUUUGGGAAUGCAGCUCAAAAUGGGUGGUAAAUUUCAUCUAAAGCUAAAUAUUGGCCAGAGACCGAUAGCGCACAAGUAGAGUGAUCGAAAGAUGAAAAGCACUUUGGAAAGAGAGUUAAACAGUACGUGAAAUUGUUGAAAGGGAAGCGCUUGCAACCAGACUUGCGCGCUGAUGAUCAUCCGGGCUUCUGCCCGGUGCACUCGUCUGCGCUCAGGCCAGCAUCGGUUUCGGUGGUGGGAUAAAGGCCUUGGGAAUGUAGCUUCUUUCGGGGAGUGUUAUAGCCCUCGGUGCAAUGCCGCCUACCGGGACCGAGGACCGCGCUUCGGCUAGGAUGCUGGCGUAAUGGUUGUAAGCGACCCGUCUUGAAACACGGACCAAGGAGUCUAACAUCUAUGCGAGUGUUUGGGUGUCAAACCCAUACGCGUAAUGAAAGUGAACGGAGGUGAGAACCCUUAAGGGUGCAUCAUCGACCGAUCCUGAUGUCUUCGGAUGGAUUUGAGUAAGAGCAUAGCUGUUGGGACCCGAAAGAUGGUGAACUAUGCGUGAAUAGGGUGAAGCCAGAGGAAACUCUGGUGGAGGCUCGCAGCGGUUCUGACGUGCAAAUCGAUCGUCAAAUUUGCGUAUAGGGGCGAAAGACUAAUCGAACCAUCUA
This 895-nucleotide ribosomal RNA is filed under the name Cadophora novi-eboraci. Its description in RNAcentral is "partial large subunit ribosomal RNA". It matches the Rfam family "Eukaryotic large subunit ribosomal RNA", at positions 34 to 946 of the family's 3401-position model. Lineage: Eukaryota; Fungi; Ascomycota; Leotiomycetes; Helotiales; Ploettnerulaceae. The record is from RNAcentral.